Molecule: ribosomal RNA, 513 nt
Filed under: Triticum aestivum (bread wheat)
Lineage: Eukaryota; Viridiplantae; Streptophyta; Magnoliopsida; Poales; Poaceae
Description: partial small subunit ribosomal RNA
Source: RNAcentral
AUGGAGAUCUCCCUGGACGCGCUGUUGGGCGUGCAGCGGCACGGACAGGACCUGGCCUACCGCCUCGUGCAUGGCGUCUCGGGGCUGCUGCUCCAACUCCACGUGCAGACGCCGCCGCUCAAGCUCCUCCCCUUCGACAUCGAGCUCCCCGCUGCCCCCUUCGCAGUCAGCGUCGACCUCCCGGCCGUGGCCGUCGUGUCCUUCGUGGAGAUCGGCGGCCUGCUCGGGCAGGCCGGGCCCGACCUCGGCGGCGCCGUGCAGCAUCUGUCGCGGCAGCUUCCCGCGCCGUUCCGCGCGCGGCGCCGGAAGUGGGAAGGAGGCGCCGCGACGCCGACGCCCGCGGCGGCGGUGGACGAGGGGGAAGCGGGGCUCGCCGCAGAAAGGGCUGCCGAGGGUGGGGUAGCCUUGGAGGGUGUCGGGGAAGGAGGCUCUGGUCGGGUCGGUCUCCGAUUCAAAACUACCUUAUAUAGGGGCUUGCCUAUUGUAGAAUAUUCACAUGAUACUAGUAUAUAA